RNAcentral lists this ribosomal RNA (255 nucleotides) under uncultured bacterium. RNAcentral's name for it is "partial 16S ribosomal RNA". It matches the Rfam family "Bacterial small subunit ribosomal RNA", at positions 524 to 776 of the family's 1533-position model. The record is from RNAcentral.
UACGUAGGGGGCAAGCGUUGUCCGGAUUUAUUGGGCGUAAAGAGCGUGUAGGCGGUCAGGUAGGUCCGUUGUGAAAACUCGAGGCUCAACCUCGAGACGCCGGUGGAAACCAUCAGGCUAGAGUCCGGAAGAGGAGAGUGGAAUUCCGUGGUGUAGCGGGUGAAAUGCGCAGAUAUCAGGAAGAACACCCGUGGCUAAGGCGGCUCUCUAGUACGGUACUGACGCUGAGACGCGAAAGCGUGGGGAGCGAACAGG